ACCAUAGCAUAGAUUAUGAGUGUAUGUUUGAUACCACGGUAGAAGGGCGAAAAGUGUAUUCAUACGAAUAAAAUUGAUUUUGACAAGUUUAGGUGAUGUUGAUUGACAUUGAUUUUGCUUUUAUAGUUGAUUUUAAGUUGAAGUUAGGAUUUGUAGCUUUUGAUUCUAAAUGUGUACCUUCUGACUCUAAAUGAGAUUUUUACACUCAAAUUUAUCGUUCAAAUAAACCACUUGUGUUUCACUUUCAGGGAAGCAACGCAAAGUGGCGGAUUAUUACAAGAAGCAGGAGAGACUCCUUGAAGGAUUUAAUGAAAUGGAGACUAUGCAUGAAACUGGUUUUUUCCCAGGAGGUCUCACUGAGGACGAAAUGAAGCAACUUGCAAAGAAUGAGAGGAUGGCAGUUCAUGUGUCAAAUGCAUGCAACUUGGUGCUGUUUGCUGGCGAGCAGAUCAUUAGCAGUUAUUGCAUCAACACUAGAUUCCUUUGUAAGGUUUCUUGUGGUUUACUUCUAAUUCGAUGAGAAAGCCAAACCGAUAUCACUAUCCUAUUGGAAAGAAACGCAUCCAACCAGUGGUAUGGGUAUCGUUGUUUUUGCACCCGUGAUGCAUGGUAACCUUGGGCUUGCAGAUUUUGAUAAAUUCCGGUUGGCAAAUUAUUGCAAAGGCUAAGCCUGAAGUGGAUCAAAUAAAGUUGAAUUGAAUGAUCUGGAUUAUGAUAUUCGUGACUGUAGUGAAGUUCAUUCUUAUGGUCUACUGUUGAAGAUUUAAAAAUGAAAUCGUCAGAGCGUUUGCACAAGAUCAUUUAUUCGAUGUCAUUACUAAAUCCGUUGGAUUAGCCGCUGCUGUUCUAGCUAUCAAGUUUCACUGGUGGAUUGAUCCAACAGGAGAUAUUGUUAUUGAGAAUGUUUUUUCACUCAUCGGUAGAACAACACCAC
Molecule: long non-coding RNA, 934 nt
Organism: Trifolium pratense (red clover)
Lineage: Eukaryota; Viridiplantae; Streptophyta; Magnoliopsida; Fabales; Fabaceae
Exons: 5
Source: RefSeq, a predicted model, not a curated record